RNAcentral lists this ribosomal RNA (300 nucleotides) under uncultured Gammaproteobacteria bacterium. RNAcentral describes it as "bacterial SSU rRNA". It matches the Rfam family "Bacterial small subunit ribosomal RNA", at positions 114 to 417 of the family's 1533-position model. The record is from RNAcentral. Lineage: Bacteria; Pseudomonadati; Pseudomonadota; Gammaproteobacteria.
CGCAUAGGAAUCUGCCUCGUAGUGUGGAAUAACGCUGGGAAACCAGGGCUAAUGCCACAUAUCUUCUACGGAAUAAAGCUGGGGACCUUCGGGCCUGGCGCUACGAGAUGAGCCUAUGUCCGAUUAGCUAGUUGGUGAGGUAACGGCUCACCAAGGCUGCGAUCGGUAGCUGGUCUGAGAGGAUGAUCAGCCACACUGGGACUGAGACACGGCCCAGACUCCUACGGGAGGCAGCAGUGGGGAAUAUUGGACAAUGGGGGCAACCCUGAUCCAGCAAUACCGCGUGUGUGAAGAAGGCCU